GGAGGGGUGGCCGAGCGGACGAAGGCGCGGGCCUGGAGAGCUCGUAGGCGGGCACAAACCUGCCUCGUGGGUUCGAAUCCCACCCCCUCCGCCA
Molecule: transfer RNA, 94 nt
Filed under: Bacillota bacterium
Lineage: Bacteria; Bacillati; Bacillota
Description: Firmicutes bacterium (sediment metagenome) tRNA-Ser
Rfam family: tRNA
About the family: Transfer RNA (tRNA) molecules are approximately 80 nucleotides in length. Their secondary structure includes four short double-helical elements and three loops (D, anti-codon, and T loops).
Source: RNAcentral